UGGGGUCCACCAAUGAUUGUGCCGUCGUACGAGCAAUCCCUGUUAAAACGAAUAUUUCCCAACCAACCGAUUAUUUUAUAACAACUUGCUUACUUUGCAAAAUUUAUAAAUAUUACCCACAACUAUAAUAAUAUAACAAAUCCACACCAUAACACCAUAAUAUUCAAAAAUAUAUUUCGAGAAAAAUUAAUCUUUAUUCAUAAAAGUUGGGGUCUUACAAUAUAGCUUCAGACGCUUUAUUGUAAGCUACUUCAGCUGACACUUCUUCCUUCAUAUCCUCUUCAAACUGAAGAUCCAUGCCUAGAUCACUCUCUAUUAGCACAACAGAUUUCAGCUCAGGUACUAGCUCAAGUGGAGAAAUUAGCUCCUUGUUCACUAUGGAAACAUUUUUCAUCUACAUUUAAAUAUAUUAUCUUUAUUAGUACAUAAUAAAAAAUCAUAUUUCAUAUAUCAAAUAACAAUUUAUUUUAUGUUAUCUUUACUUUUUCCUCAAUUUCUUUUGAUGAAUUCCUAUAAUUUAUCUCCUAAAAACUCGUCCUGAGUUUAUCUUCUUACUAUCUUCUCUAUUGCUCUAAUUCCUCCAAGGUUAUAGCCUAAAGUGUUCUCACCUAAGGUUUCUAACCUACAACUCUAAUACCAAUAUGUGACGCUCAUGGAUAUACCAUAACACCUCACAUGGACACCUAUUAGCUAGCCACCUACAACUUAUGGCGUCCUCUACAAAGAGUUUGGCUUUCGUGCCUCCCUUUCUAAGGACGUCACCAGCGAGAAGUUCGGGGCUCUUCACACUAACUUGUGCAUAUAGCUCUAAUACCAACCUGUGACGCCCCCAAAUCUGAGUUUAAGGAAUAAUAUUUUCUUCCAUACUCUGUAGUAUGUGAGUAAAUUAGUAGAAUAUUCUUGAAAUUUGCGCUUCAUCUAGUAUCAUUUCACAAGGAUAUUUUCUGCACGUUCUUGUUAAAUUUUAAGCUUUUCAUGCCGAAGUACUGUCCAUGAGUAGUAUUCAUUUAUACGUUACUAUUCACAAAGUACUAUUCACGGGGUACUAUUCAUGGGUACUAUUCAUAAAGUACUAUUCACAAGUACUAUUCACAAAGUACUAUUCAUGGGGUACUAUUCCUGAAGUACUAUUCAUAAAGUACUAUUCAUUUGGGUACUAUUCACCUGGGGAAUUAUUCAUGACAAAAAUUGAUUUUUUUCAGUCCAAAUCAUUUUUGAUACAAUAUUAUUCUUGAAUUUUACUCCACAAAGCAGUAUCAUGUUGACAAUUUGGACAUUAUGAAUUCUGGAUAAAUUAAAUUAUAAAUAUUUAAAAAUUUAUCAUUUGCUUUCUUUUAAUUGAAUUCUUAUAUCAUUGUCAUCAUCCUCAUGCUUAUAUUGUGAUAAAAGUCAUCUGUGGCUUAUGUGCAUAGAUGUACUAUUGAUUGGUAUGAUUGUGACCAUGGAUUAUUCAGUAUAAUCAUGACCGUAAUAUUACAAAUGAUGUGGUAAAAAUUAUCAUUGGCCUGUAGAGCAUUGAUGGACAGUUGUUGGUAUGAUUAUGACCAGGGAUUAUUCGGUAUAAUCAUAACCAUUGAUGAUUACAUGAAUAUCCUUGGCCCGUAAUGCAGGGAUGAUUCGAUGAUGUGGUUUAUUUAUUAAGCUGAGUCUCAGCGAUAAAGUUGAUGAAAAACCUUUUUAAAUCAUAGAAGAUAGUAGAUAUCAUGUUACUUGACUCUUCUAAUGGAUUUCUUGUUCCGCUGCAGUUAAACUUGAUGUUUAUUGUAUUUUAUCAGUUUAAUACUAUUGAAGGCUAACGAUAAUUUAUUCUGCAUUAUCUUAGUCAUAAUAUUUCUUACUGGGCUAGUUGAGCUCACCCUUUUGCUUUCAUUGUUCUCUUCAGGAAAUGAGAACAUAGCCGGUACUAGUCGGGGAACAGAGUGACGGUCCGAGAUGGUGGCUAUAGUAGUCCUCACUAUUUUAUAAAAUAGUGUGGUAAUAAAUGUAAUGAGGACUUCAUUUGAGUUUGAAUACUGUCUAUGAGACAAUAUUCGUGUAAAAACUCUAAGCUACACUGUUGUCGUAUUUUAUAAAAAAAAGUUUGUAUUUGAUUUAUGUACCAUAUAUUUGGCGACUCAGAAUGGGUGAUGUAUACCUAUUUUGGGGGAGUCAUAUGUAUGUUCUGAGAAGUUAUUUGGAGAUGAACCUAUGGUGAACUUAAGAAGUGAACAUGAAAGUAUCCAGAAAUGGAACUCAAUGAUGAAAUGGAAGUAAAUUCCAAGGAUACUAAUAUAGAGCAAGAAGUAGAGUCAGUAAAUGAAAAAAGGAAAAGUGCAGCAAAAGUUGUGAAUGAUCAACUAAUGAAAGAAGUAAAAGAUCUGAAGCAUAGGGUGUUUUUCUUGGAAGAAAUGUGGGAAAGGAAAAGAUUAUUGAAUAAUCAAUUGGAGAAGGCGUUAAGUGAGAUGACGGAAGAGCAUGGUGAGUUGAAUGUGAGGAUUAACGAAAUGGGAGUUAAAAGCAAUAUAACUGUUGAAGCUCAGAAUAAGAAGAGAAAAGAGAAUUGGAUUGAUAGAUAGGAAAACCAUAAGAAAAUGGUAAAUGAAUGUAAAAAUUAAGGUAGAAACCACAUUGGUGUAUGCUUGAAAGGACAGAAAGUAUGUUUUAAUUGCGGGCAAAAAGAUCAUUUUUCUCCCAACUGCCCCAACCUGAGGAAAAUAGCUUGUCUCAACUGUGGAUCAUUUGAGCAUAUAGUUAAGAAAUGUUCGAUAAAAGAACAAGUAUAAAAUGAUGUAUAAACAUAUGAAUGUUAGAGUGUUCAUGUGUUAUGUGAAUUCCAGCUUGUAAUAUAAAUAACGAGAUAUCUUUUGUAAGUCUUAACUGAUAUAUAAGUUGAGGACUCGGAUAUGUUAAUCUCAUCUUUUGUAUUAAAUAGAUAGAUGAAAUUGUAAUUAGCCAGAAGGCUAAGAAGAAAGAAGUAUAUAAGAAAGAAAGUAGUAAGAGAACAGAAGUAAGUAAAGAAAAGUAUGUAUGUUGAAGCAUAUUAAUAAAGGAUAUUUAUUAAAUAUGCUUGUGAUGAAUGUGUUAACAUUGAAUAAAAAGGAAAUAAAAUAAUAAUAGUAUUAUUUUAUUAACUAGAAGAUGUAGUCGAGAAAAAGGCAUGGAGUACAAGAGAAAAGGUUAAGAAAUGAAAGUGAGAAUGAGAAUAGGGAACAAAUUAAUCCUAUGUAUUAAUUAUGUUGAUUUGGGGUAUGAUCUAUUGUAAUUUUAUAUUAUGAAUUGUUCAAUGUUUAAGUUUUAUUCUAGAGAAUCUAGAAAGUUUUUUUGAGAAUAGAAGAUACAAGUAAGGGUUUAGUCCCUGAUGUGCAUAGUAAUAGAAAAUACUUUGUUAAGGUUGGGGAGCAUGAAGUUAUGAUGGAAUUAAUUCCAAUUUACUGUUAAUGAUUUGAUGAAAAAAUGAUUUGGUUAAUUAACCAUAGAGCAAUGUAGUAAUGCCAGAAGAAGCUAAGUGAACCUUAAUACUGUGAAAUGGUAUAAGGUAGUUUAUGGUGAUAGUAAGUUGUCGAGAUGUUCUCAUUGGUUGAGGUUGAUGAUAUAAACUAGAAAGGCUGUUAAGAAAUAAAUGUGAAGAUUAUUAAGGUUACCUUAUGAAUAUCCAAAGUAUGAAAACAGUAAUAGGUUAGAAAACCAUAAUAAAAGAAAUUAUGAGUGUUUUGUUCGGAUAAAAUACUAGGAUCAAUGAUUUCUUUAAUCUGUUGAAAGGAGUGGAGUAUUUUUUUUAGGAUAAAUUUGAGGAUCGAGUAUUAUCAGUUAAAAAUGAGUAAAGAAAAUGUUCUGAGGAUAUCACUAUGAACUUAUUAUGAUUAUUAUUAGUCUUGGUGAAGUCGUUCAGGUUGAGGAAUGCGUUAGUAGCAUUUAUAGAUUUAUUGAAUAGAGAAUUCAAGCUAUAUUGGACAAAUUGCUAAUAAUAUGUAUAGGUGAUAUCUUGGUCUAAUCUAAGACACAUGAAUAUCAAAAGGAACACUUAGGAAUUGUGUGGAAAGUAUUAAGGAAAGAGAAUCAAUAUACAAAGUUCAUAAAGUGUGGAUUAGGUAUGGAAUUAGAAGGUUCAAAGGUUGUUGAACAUUUGAUCAAGAAGUAUGGAAUUAGAAGUAAGAUGUUCAAAAGAGUCGGAUGAGGAGUUAUAUAGGGGAGAAUUGUCUAGCUAAACUACGUAGAAUGAAGAAGGCACAAUCUCAAAGAUGAGAAGUGUAGUCAGAUAAGGCAAAGAAUUGCCAAAGGUAAAGAGAAGUAUGUUUAUACUUAAUAAUGAAAAAGUGUUACGAUUUGAAGGAUUAAUUUGAUUUCCAAUAGUAUUGGAGCUAAAAUAAGAAGUCACAGGAUGUGUUAGUAAGUGUUCGACUUGACAGAGACUUGAGGCUAAAUGAUGAGGAUUAGAUGAUUUGUUAAAAAAAUCCAGGAUAGAAAUGGGAGUAUAUCAUUAGAAAUUUUGUGAAAGAAUUUCCAGUUAUGUAAAGGGAGUUCAUUGUUUUAUGAAGUAUAGUGAUCAUUUAAUGAAGUUGAUAUAAUUAAUACCAGUGAUGUAGUUAAACUUCAUGUCAAAUGGAAUUAGAAUAAUUAGUUAAACUUUAUGCUAAAAAAAAUUGUUUCAAGACAUGGAGUGUCAGUUUUGAAUGUGUUGGAUUAGAUCCGCAUUUCACGUCAAACUUUCGAGGGAGUUUACAAGAGAAAAUGGUAUCAUCCUCAAACAGAAGAGUAGAGCAAGCAGACAUGCGUGAUGCCUUAUGAAACGUUAUACAAUAGAAGAUGCAUAAUUUGUUCACGUGUCGUUAUUACGACCCUAUGAGCAAUAUUGUAAGUAUGUAAUUGAGUAGGAACCUAUCCAGGUUAAAAAGGGCUUAACAUAUGGAUAAAUUCCUAGGGAAGAGCAAAUUUUAAGAAAUAAAAUUAUAUCUUCUGUGAAGUAGUAUGGAGGAACCACAAUUAUAAGAAUAGAUCAUGAUCGUAGAAUAUCUUUGUAAUAAGAUAAUUAAUAUUUAUUAAAUAAAAUAAAUAUUUUAAUGGAAUAAAUUGUGUAUUAUGAGUUUUUAGGUUGAUUAAUGACCUAGUUUAUGUGUUACAUGACUAAAUAUGAGUGUUUAAAAUUUGUGGAAGAAAAUAAAUUUUUUCGAGAAAAACGCAAAAUCACUAUUCAUAAAUCGUAGGAAACAUUUUUUUUUUCAUUUUUUGAACUUUUCGAAUUACGGCAUAGCGUUUAUUUGGAAAAUGGAGACGAAAUCUCCAAUAACAAUAUUUUUAUCAGAAAAGACGUAAAAUCACUUUCACGCUAAAAACACAACUUCAUUUUUUAUGAAUUUUCGAAGAGUAACAUAGCGUUUAUUGGGGAAAGAUGGAACACUAGCGAAAUUAGAUUAUCGAAAAUCGAAAGUCGAUUUUUCGGCUAACCGAGCAUGUUACGAAAACGUAACCGAAAAAGUUAGAAAAAUCUAACUAGAAAGAAAUCGGGUAACCGACUUAAUUCGGGAAGUAAACCCUAAUCAAUUGUACGAAAAGGGCAAAAAGGACAUUUUGCUGACCAUAUGAAUUAUGAAAGUUAACUAAAAAGAAAAUACGAAAUUAAAUUAACUUUGGUCUAGCCAAGCCAAGGGUUUCAAUGGCUUGGCUAGAAAAGGAAAGGGGCUUGGCUAGGUUAGGGAGGCUUAAGCCUUGAAGCCAUGACUUGAAGACUUAAGCCAAUUAUUGCAAGACGUGGAGCCAAAGUGUAAGACAAACUUGGAGCCAUAGACUUGGGAGGGCAUGUGUCAUUUGUGAGAAAUUAAGCACAUUGGACAAGAGAGGAUAUAAAGGCUAUGAGUCACGAGCUAGGACGUACAAGUGUGUCUUGAAAAUUAAUUAGGAUGUGGUUAAUUGAAUGUGAAAAAGCUAAAAGGAGAAGGAAGGAAGAGGAGGGGGCUGGGCAUGUGAGGAAAGGAGAUAAGGUUGGAUGGAAAACUUCUAUAAAUGGUAAGUUUUAUCUCUUGCAAGUAUGCUUAAGCAUUAAUUCUUUGGUGGAAAUAUGUCACUUGCUAGGAAAUAAGCAUGUGAGGAAUUGAAAUAAGUGAAAGGGGAAGGAGGGACAUCCGGCCAAUUGAGGAGCAAAGGGGGGAGUAUUGUGCUGACUCACCUAGUAUAAGUGGUAAGGGUAUUAAAUUGUAGCUUAUCUUUUUUUCCAUCUUCAUCCAUAUAUAAUUUCUCAAGUGUCAUUUCUUUAUUCCUUAAUCCAUCAUGAGUUAUAUAGUCGAAUCCUAGAGUAUGGUUAGGUUAGUUGGUGGGAGAUGAGAUGAUUUAAUUCUCUACACUUAGCCAUUUCAUUCAUUUCAUUUCUUAAGUCUAGAGAGAAAAGAGAGAGCAAGAGAAAGAGAAGCAAAAGAGUUUAGUGAGAUAGAGAGAGUAGUCGAAUAGAAGAAGAAGAAGAUGGAGUAAGCUUUUCUCAAUCUUUAGCUAGCUAAGAAGGAAAAGAGGAGCAUCAAAGGUAAGAAAUCCUAGAAACUCAUCUUUUUCAUUUUAUUUCUUUUAAAAGCUUUGUAGCAUGAUAUGAAAUGCUUUGUUGUUCAAUGCUUUAGUUUGAUAAUUAUCAUUGAAGGAUCUUGGAGAGAUAAGGCCGCUUGUGGUUUAGAUAUGUUAAAUCACUUGUUAAUAUGUAUAAAAAGUGAAAAUGAAACCUAAAAUCACAAGCCUAAGCGUAAAUAAUGGAAAACAACAUAGAGGACUUUAAUAUUGGACUUAUAAAUGUUUUUUUUGUUUAUUGUUUGUGAAAUUUGACAAGAAGGAUUUUUAAAUAAGGAAGUUAUGGAGAAGUUCCAAGUGGAAUGGAGGAAAAAUACGUUAUCACGAAGUUAUGGCUAAUUUUUUCGUAAAAGGUGUCAAAUGUGAAAAAUCCUAGCUUGGUACCCUUUGUGGGCCAAAUGUAUGGGUAGUUAACGCUUCCGUGAAAUUAUUUCUUUCUGGGAUAAAUGUAGUUGGGUGAAAACGUGAAUCGUGGACUCAAGAACGAGCUCAAUCCGACUUCGGAUGAGUAAGUUACGAAGUUUAGAAAAUUGGACGUUAAAGCGUCAUUUCAGUAUAAAACUGGCUCAUGAGGGAGUUUUGAGCCGAUUUCCUGAAAAUUUAAAGAAUUGUGAAAAAAUAAAUUGUCCUGGGGGAUUUGAAGAAUUUGUUACAAGAAAGAAAUAGACACAAGAACGAUCUUAUUCCGAUAUCGAACUAGCAAGUUAUGAUGUUUCAAAGUAGACGCAUUGAAAAUUUUCAAAACUGAAAAUUUGAAAAAAUCAAACAUUUUGGCCGAACAACUCCCUGCCUCCCAGAGGCUAGAGCUCUUGUCUAGGCUUAUUUGAAGCGCCUAGAGCUCUAGCCACUUUUUAGGCCAAAAGUCAGCCUGGACAUGCUUCACUAAAUCAAGAAUAACUUUUUCAUAUGAACUCCGAUUGAAGUUAUUCAAGAUGAUUCGAAGAGAUAAGGAGUAGAACUAGAACUUUCAUUCUUUAAGUGUUGAUAAUUGAGGUCGGGAACAAUUUCCAAAUUGGGCAUUUGUAGGGCUGUUGUGCAAUAGGUGGCAAACCAUGGUAGUUUCUUUGAACUAUUGUGGUGUCGAGCCAUGUUUGACUAGCAUUUUCGAGUUCUAAACAUUGAACAUUGAGAAUAUAAUUUAGAGAAAGGUAAACCAAGGAAUGGUAGAUGUAUUGGAUGUAUUAAUUAUACUCAAUGGCGUGUCGGUUAAGCGUUCGAUGUAGAAAAGUCAGGUGCACGACGUACGAAUGUCGAAACACCGAGUCGAAUAUUAAUGAACUUAAAUAAUGCUCAGAGUUUAAUGAAACUAGCUUUAUAAAACAUGGAAUAGGAUUAUAGUAAACCUUGCGUGACAUUUAUACGUGACUAAUUGGUAUGUCUAUGUGCACUAAAUGUGCAGGACUUUUAAAGGGCGAUUAACGUCAAGGUAUAGAAGACGCUUGAGGCAAGUUUCCUAAACUUACUUCAACUUUAUUGAGCAAGUAUUCUAACUCCAUUCAAAUUUUGUUUGAAUGUCAGUUUUUGAGUAUAUAUUCUUAUGAAUAAUUCUUAUGUACGCUUCGGUUUACACAAUAUUUAUCGAUUUUGCAACCUUCAAACUUGUACAAACUCUCGAUUAAUUGUUUAAGUGUUUAGCUAUGCUAUAAUGCAUAAAUUGUUUCACGAUUUGCUAUAAUGCAUAAAUUGUUCAAGUUUUGUAAUAACAUAAACUGUUCAAGUUUUAAAGUUCUUAUACUCAUGAAUUGUUUAAGUGUUAUGUCAAUGACAAUUGUAUUGGUUAUAUACAUGUUAAAAUAUUUUAUUGAUUUGAAUACCAUUCUUUGACAUGUUAUUUGGAUUAGGUAGAGCUGUCCACCCAGAUUGUUUUGGGGUUCGGACUCCAGCCUGAGAUGAACAACCCUAAUAUUGGGGGUUUUUUUACGUCAAAAAAAUCCCGACAAACCCUUGAGGUGGUCACACAAACACAUAUAGUCGUUUAGCCAAAGUGUUAUACAACAUAGGGUACACUGGGCUGAUCACCUAACGUGCCCGUAAGCCAGAUCAGUUCAUAGUUGAAUUUCUGUUGAACCCUUGAGAGAACAAAAAUGUGCGAGGUCUUUUGACCGUUCAGUAUUUCGUUUCAAAAAUGUUAGAUAAAAAAGGAAUUUAUUAUUUUUAUUCCUAUUUAUUCGGAAUGUUUUCACAAUUAUUAUUCAAUUGUUGAAAUAGUAGCGUGAUUCUAAAUUUUGUUGUUUAUUCAAUUGUUUAUACUUGCUGAACUUUAUAGCUCACCCUUACUUUAAAUUAAAUAUUUUUCAGCGAAGCUAGAGCAGAUUGAAGGUUUCGGUAAGGACAAAGGGAAAGAAAAGGUGGACGAGUAGAAGAUAGCUGUAAAUAUUUGUAAUAAUUAGUAGUAUUGUAAUAAAUACUUAAUACUUUAUCAUGUGUUGAAGACUUAAAUGUUUGAGAACCUGGGAUUUAGAGUGAGACAUAUUAUAAUAAUUAGAAGUUGCAUUUAUGCCAUUCUGUUAGAUGAGAAGUACCAUUGAACAUUAUAUUCACAGUUUAAAGGUACUCAGAUUUGGGGCAUCACAAGCAGCGCUGCAUAGCAGCCACGCGCAUGCACAACGCGUCACACGUCGCCCGCACGCUGCCUAAUCGCUCUUAUUUCUAGCUUUGGUGAUCUCAACGCCCUUACUUUGGCACUUCUUAACUAGGUUGUAUGAACUCAGAAUUAGUCCGUUCUUGAGGCUAUAAUUGGUUGGGAUUGCACUUUACAAAACCCCACAAUAUCAUAAUUUUUUGGAAACUCUAAAUAGUCAAAACAGUGGUCCAAAAGUCCCCUCUUGCGCUGAUUUGUAGUUUGGCAGUUUUGAUGCGCCUACUUCUGAACGUCAUAACUCAUUCGUCCAACAUCGAAAUGGGUCCGUUCCGGAGGCUAUGGAUAACUAAACCAGUGUACUAUACAUACCAAAAAAUCAGAAGUUUCUAGAAACUUUAACCAGCAACGAAAGUAGGCUAAAAGUCGGCAGUCACACUAAUUUUUUUUUGUUUUUAACCUUCUUUACUAAAACGUUGACCAUAAAUUCAUUUUAGCUUCUUUUUGCUUCGUUACAAAUAAGUUAUUUCCGUAACUCAUAAGAGUACACCCCAUUAUUACAGAACUUAAUUUUCGGUUCUAGACCAUUAUAAAUUUUGGCUCAAGAACAGCCCCCAAAAAUAGUUUCAAUAAGUUCUUGUUUUUACAUGUUUUACUAGAAAAUCCGCCAUGACUUCGUUACAACGGAUUUUUAGAUUUGCGACACCAUAAAAAAGGCCUCCAAAACAAGCCCUUAACAAUCCAUAAUUCAUCCUUAUGCAUAGGUUUGUAUUUCUUUUUUCAUUUUUGCUCCAUUUUUCAUGUUGUUUAUCGGCAAUUUACAUAUAUAAACCACCUUAUACCUCCUAGAUCCUUCAUGAUCUCAAAUAAUCAUAACAACCACCAUCAAAACUAAUAAAAAACAUAACAUGAUGGAAAAUUGGUCUAAGGUUUUAAUAUUACCUCUUCUUGCUUCUUCUUGUUCUUCUUUACUUAAUCUUGAUGAUUAAAGCUUAAAGCUUGCUAGAUCCUUGCUCUUCCUUGUCCCACUUCGUGGACUCUCUCUCUUUCUCUUUAUUAAAAUAAACAAAUGGGGGAGACGAGCAAUAAAUGACUUGCUCCCUUUGGCACAAAACUUACUAUCAAUGGAAAGUUUCCAUCCUCUUUUGCCUCCCUCUCAUGCCUGGUUCCUCCCCUCCCUUUUUUCCCUUUUCUAAAUUCAAUUAACCUCAUGCCUAAUAGCUAACAAGUGACACUUGGCCUCCCUCUUCCUUUAUCAUCUUUAUCCCGUAUGCUUAAUAAACAACCACAUACCGAAUGACAUAUGCUCCCUUUUAUUCCCUUAGCCAUCCGGAUGUUCCCCCUCUU
This 10447-nucleotide long non-coding RNA is filed under the name Panax ginseng (ginseng). Its description in RNAcentral is "long non-coding RNA (PGIN_LNC012859)". The record is from RNAcentral. Lineage: Eukaryota; Viridiplantae; Streptophyta; Magnoliopsida; Apiales; Araliaceae.